Molecule: transfer RNA, 76 nt
Filed under: Atopobium sp.
Lineage: Bacteria; Bacillati; Actinomycetota; Coriobacteriia; Coriobacteriales; Atopobiaceae
Description: tRNA-Ala
Rfam family: tRNA
About the family: Transfer RNA (tRNA) molecules are approximately 80 nucleotides in length. Their secondary structure includes four short double-helical elements and three loops (D, anti-codon, and T loops).
Source: RNAcentral
GGGGGCAUAGCUCAGUUGGUAGAGCACCUGCUUUGCAAGCAGGGGGUCCAGGGUUCGAGUCCCUGUGUCUCCACCA